This 202-nucleotide ribosomal RNA is filed under the name uncultured bacterium. Its description in RNAcentral is "partial 16S ribosomal RNA". It matches the Rfam family "Bacterial small subunit ribosomal RNA", at positions 1300 to 1500 of the family's 1533-position model. The record is from RNAcentral.
GCAGGCUGCAACCCGCCCUGCAUGAAGUUGGAAUCGCUAGUAAUCGCGGAUCAGCAUGCCGCGGUGAAUACGUUCCCGGGCCUUGUACACACCGCCCGUCACACCAUGAGAGUCGGGAACACCCGAAGUCCGUAGCCUGACCGCAAGGGGGGCGCGGCCGAAGGUGGGUUCGAUAAUUGGGGUGAAGUCGUAACAAGGUAUC